RNAcentral lists this unclassified non-coding RNA (240 nucleotides) under Hevea brasiliensis (rubber tree). The record is from RNAcentral. Lineage: Eukaryota; Viridiplantae; Streptophyta; Magnoliopsida; Malpighiales; Euphorbiaceae.
GGAAAUUUGUCCACUCUCAAGCCACAGUGUGGGGGGCAGGUAGAAGGAAAAAAUAUGUUAAGUACAAUAUACUAACAUCUUGUCAUUGAAGAUCUACAAAUUGUGAACACAUGAGCAGACAUGUAUGCUUGUAUGUAUGCCCUAAGUUCAAUGAGAUGAAACCCAUCAGUAAACAAGAUUCAUAAACUUCUUGAAGAUAACAAUGAAAUGUUAUUAACACAGAAACAAAAUAAAUAGCAA